CAUGAAGUCGGAAUUGCUAGUAAUCGCGGAUCAGCAUGCCGCGGUGAAUACGUUCCCGGGCCCUUGUACACACCGCCCGUCACACCAUGGGAGCCGGUAAUACCCGAAGUCAGUAGUCCAACCUCGUGAGGACGCUGCCGAAGGUAGGAUUGGCGACUGGGGUGAAGUCGUAACAAGGUAGC
This 182-nucleotide ribosomal RNA is filed under the name uncultured bacterium. RNAcentral describes it as "partial 16S ribosomal RNA". It matches the Rfam family "Bacterial small subunit ribosomal RNA", at positions 1319 to 1500 of the family's 1533-position model. The record is from RNAcentral.